CCAACUCCCAUGAUGAUUUCGAUUGGCUCACACAUGCUUUUCGCCUCCAAGUGUAUAUGGACGCUUCCACUUUAUCUGCUAGCUCAAGCGCUUCAAGUUCAGAGCUUAUGUUCAGAUGGUCAAGUAGAUGGUUGGGGGAGAAUUUGUCUGCGGUGUUGAUAUAGCGUCGCGUUUAUGUCGCAAGUCCUUCCUCGACUUCUCAGACAGGCCUCCGGAGGGAACACAUGGAACCGGCAGCCACCACUUCUCCUCCUGACGCUGAAGCGGCUGAACAAUCCUCCUGAAUGAGCCAGGUCUCGAUGAGUUUCCCGACAUGCUCCCUUGCUCUACGUACCAAAACUCCGUCUCCUGGAAACCCUCCAGUAUCUCCUGCCAAACACAUUUCAGAAACACCCAUUGUUUCCACUUUUCUUUGAGGGGUUCUAGUCUCAGAUGAUUGCCAAAUACAGAAGCUGCAAUACAUGGUACGAGUAGAAAAUAAGAGAGAAAUGAAAACAGAAAAGAAAAACACUAACAGCAGGUUUGGUAAAGUUUGGGUCCGGGGUUAGUCCGGUUGGUUGGUGGAUUUGCUCUCCACGCAAUUGAUUAGGGUUCAAUUCUUGGGGUCAGAUUCCCUAUUUCCGGCAUGGAUGGUCUGCUUUUGACCAGCCGGGAGUGACCGGCCGGGGAGGGGAUUUGUGAGGGGUGCAUAAGCCGGCUCAGACUCUCCCCGCCGUCGAACCAAAAAAAAAAAGAAGGGUUGGUAAAGUUUUUGUCUCCUGUUUUCUAUUCUUUUUUUUUUUUUGUCAGAGUUACAAACACUGAAAAGGAAAGCAUGUUUGUUUAGUGUUUUGAUGUGGUUGUCGGUAACAGUUGCCCAGAAAAAAGUGAGAACCGUCUUCAAACAUUGUAGAAACAAAAGGCAAAAGCCAAGGUGGUUUUGCUUGUUUUCAAACAAGUUUCAUUUUCUCCUCCCUCCCACCAUUACCAAGCCACCGCCACCACCUCCGGUAACUCUCCCCACCUCCACCGGCAACCCUUCUAGCCACUCCCUCACUUGUUCUGAUUUCACAAGAAGUUCUUGAGCAUAUCAACCAAACAUGCAAGUCAUUUGUUUCUGUUUUCAACAGAAAGAUGAAAACUUGAUUCCAACCUUUUUUGUGAACAGAAAGCCGAAAACUGAGAACGUU
Molecule: long non-coding RNA, 1169 nt
Organism: Rhododendron vialii
Lineage: Eukaryota; Viridiplantae; Streptophyta; Magnoliopsida; Ericales; Ericaceae
Exons: 3
Source: RefSeq, a predicted model, not a curated record